Molecule: small nucleolar RNA, 122 nt
Filed under: Echinops telfairi (small Madagascar hedgehog)
Lineage: Eukaryota; Metazoa; Chordata; Mammalia; Afrosoricida; Tenrecidae
Description: Small nucleolar RNA SNORA61 (ENSETEG00000026766.1)
Source: RNAcentral
ACCCUCCAGAUUCCUUACCCCUCGGAUUGAAACAGUGGUCCGAAUGGCUAUAAAAGCAGGAAAAGCGAAAAUGGAAAUGGACUUUGAUUCUUUCAUGACACAUAAGUUCAUUUCAAACAAGC